UCGGUAGAGCUACAUUUUGUUGUAGUGUUUGGGGUGCCCAAGGAUCUAUCUAGAUUGUAUCCAACACCUAGAGGGGGUUGAAUAGGUGUAACGACCAAAAACCACAAAUCUCAAUGAGAUCAAAAUAGAUGCAGAAAAUAAAAAUCACACCGAGAUUUACGUGGGAAAACUUUGACUUGGAGAAAAACCCACGGGACCAACACGCGAAAAAAUAAUUCACUAAUUCACUAAGAGAAAAGAUUACAAGGUGAUUACCGACUCCACGGACUCAACCUCUCUUAACUUCCUAUGAAUCUCGCGCAACCCUCCAGGUUGUCCAUGCCCUCACGUUCGAAUCCACGAACGCCACGUUCCAAAUCCACGAAACGCCUCCACUCCGAAUACACGAAGCUCACGAUCCGAAUCCACGAAUCGCCGUCAAUCACGCCGAAUCCACGACGCCGUCAUAAAGAACAUCAUGUGUAUAGUGAUCCUUCGCUUAGAGUAUCGAUGAAAACAAGGGAAGAGAACUCCAAGCGAAGCGAAGAUCAAAUCGACAUAUAGAUAUGAAAUUCCAAUAUCUCGAUUUGAUCUAAAAGAGGCUAAUAUAUAGAAAAUAGGUUUUAGAUGAAAUCUGAGCCUCUAUGGUUUCUCUAACAUGUAUUCUCAUGAUACUUGAUGAGUUAGAGAACCCCAAUAGCUUAUUUAUAGACUUUGGAAUCAAUUGGAGUCGGAUUAGAAAGUUUUCACAAUUUUACACAGUGUACCGGUACACG
Molecule: long non-coding RNA, 755 nt
Filed under: Ananas comosus (pineapple)
Lineage: Eukaryota; Viridiplantae; Streptophyta; Magnoliopsida; Poales; Bromeliaceae
Description: long non-coding RNA (ACOM_LNC042821)
Source: RNAcentral